GGCAGUUCUCGGGUUACACACCCCAGAAUGGACUCCCUCCUCUCAGGUUCUGAGUGCAUCACCUGAGAACCACA
This is a non-coding RNA of Myotis lucifugus (little brown bat), 74 nucleotides long. The record is from Rfam. NCBI's taxonomy places the organism in Eukaryota, Metazoa, Chordata, Mammalia, Chiroptera, Vespertilionidae.